UACCCAGAACAGGCGGAGCAACAGGCGGAAAGAGCGCGGAGCAAACGGCGGGCGGCCAGCGGAUACCACCGGGGACACCGGGACAGGUGGCACUGGUGGCACCGGUACUGGUGGUACUGGAGUCACCGGUACCGGUUGUACUGGUGUCACUGGUACUGGUGGUACUGGUGUCACUGGUAGUGGUGGGACCGGUGACACCGGUGGUGCUGGUGCCAGUGGUACUGGUGUCACUGGUGGUACUGGUGCUGUUGGUACUGGUGGCACUGGUGUCACUGGGACCGGUGGUACCGGUGGUUCUGGUGCUGGUGGUACCGGUGUCACUGGUGGUACUGGAAUCACUGGUACCGGUUGCACUGGUGUUACUGGUACUGAUGGCUCUGGUACCGGUGGUACCGGUGGUACCGGUGGUACUGGUGGUACUGGUACCAGUGGUACUGGUGGUACCGGUAGCACUGCAGUCACUGGUACUGGUGGUACUGGUGGUACUGGAGUCACCGGUACUGGUGGUACUGGUGGUACCAGUGUCAGUGGUACCGGUAGCCCUCAUACUGGUGGUACUGGUGUUACUGGUGUUACUGGUGUUACUGGUUCCACCGGUAGCAGAGGCGUCACUGGUGGUCCUGCUGUCACUGGUACCGGUUGUACUGGUGGUACUGGUUGUACUGGUGUUACUGGUGUUACUGGUUUUACUGGUGGUACUGGUGUUACUGGUGGUACUGGUGUUACUGGUGUUACUGGUGGUACUGGUGGUACUGGUUUUACUGGUGGUACCGGUCCAUUUUUCAGCCCCGGGGGUCGCGGUGACGUAAUCGGUGACGUAAUCGGUGACGUCAUCAUCGACGGUGAUGUAAUCGAUGGGGGUUCCAUCGCCUGCGCCCAGGGACACCAGUGAGACCAGUAAGGGCUCCCAGUGAAACCAGUAACGGCUCCCAGUGCUCCCAGUAACCCCCCAGUGAAACCAGUAACCCCCCAGUGAGACCAGUAACCCCGCAGUGAAACCAGUAAGGGCUCCCAGUGAAACCAGUAACGGCUCCCAGUGAGACCAGUAACCCCCCAGUGGUCCCAGUAACCCCAGUCCCUCCCAGUCCCCUCCCAGUCCCUCCCAUUCCCCUCCCAGUCCCUCCCAGUCCAUCCCAGUCCCUCCCAGUUCCCAUUUAACCCUUCCCAGUCCAUCCCAGUCCAUCCCAGUCCAUCCCAGUUUACCCAGGACGUUGACCCUGGCGAUGGCCUCGGGGCUGCAGUUCCCCCAAACGUCC
Molecule: long non-coding RNA, 1256 nt
Filed under: Cyanistes caeruleus (blue tit)
Lineage: Eukaryota; Metazoa; Chordata; Aves; Passeriformes; Paridae
Description: lncRNA (ENSCCEG00000002505.1)
Source: RNAcentral